UACGAAGGGGGGCUAGCGUUGUUCGGAUUUACUGGGCGUAAAGCGCACGUAGGCGGAUCGUUAAGUCGGGGGUGAAAUCCUGGAGCUCAACUCCAGAACUGCCUUCGAUACUGGCGAUCUUUGAGUCCGGAAGAGGUGAGUGGAACUCCUAGUGUAGAGGUGGAAUUCGUAGAUAUUAGGAAGAACACCAGUGGCGGAAGGCGGCUCGCUGGUCCGGUACUGGACGCUGAGGUGCGGAAAGCGUGGGGAGCCAAACAGGGGAGUUAAGAA
Molecule: ribosomal RNA, 270 nt
Filed under: uncultured bacterium
Lineage: Bacteria
Description: partial 16S ribosomal RNA
Rfam family: Bacterial small subunit ribosomal RNA
Source: RNAcentral